Molecule: ribosomal RNA, 491 nt
Filed under: uncultured bacterium
Lineage: Bacteria
Description: partial 16S ribosomal RNA
Rfam family: Bacterial small subunit ribosomal RNA
Source: RNAcentral
AGUGAACGCUGGCGGUAGGCCUAACACAUGCAAGUCGAACGGCAGCACAGUAAGAGCUUGCUCUUACGGGUGGCGAGUGGCGGACGGGUGAGGAAUACAUCGGAAUCUACUUUUUCGUGGGGGAUAUCGUAGGGAAACUUACGCUAAUACCGCAUACGACCUACGGGUGAAAGCAGGGGAUCUUCGGACCUUGCGCGAUCGAAUGAGCCGAUGUCGGAUUAGCUAGUUGGCGGGGUAAAGGCCCACCAAGGCGACGAUCCGUAGCUGGUCUGAGAGGAUGAUCAGCCACACUGGAACUGAGACACGGUCCAGACUCCUACGGGAGGCAGCAGUGGGGAAUAUUGGACAGUGGGCGCAAGCCUGAUCCAGCCAUACCGCGUGGGUGAAGAAGGCCUUCGGGCUGUAAAGCCCUUUUGUUGGGAAAGAAAAGCAGCAGGUUAAUACCCCGCUGUUCUGACGGUACCCAAAGAAUAAGCACCGGCUAACUUCGU